This 450-nucleotide ribosomal RNA is filed under the name uncultured bacterium. RNAcentral's name for it is "partial 16S ribosomal RNA". It matches the Rfam family "Bacterial small subunit ribosomal RNA", at positions 330 to 794 of the family's 1533-position model. The record is from RNAcentral.
CCCAGACUCCUACGGGAGGCAGCAGUGGGGAAUAUUGGGCAAUGGAGGCAACUCUGACCCAGCAACGCCGCGUGAAUGAUGAAGGUCUUCGGAUUGUAAAGUUCUUUUCUAAGGGAAGAAGAAAGUGACGGUACCUUAGGAAUAAGCCCCGGCUAACUACGUGCCAGCAGCCGCGGUAAUACGUAGGGGGCAAGCGUUAUCCGGAUUUACUGGGUGUAAAGGGGGCGCAGACGGCAGCGCAAGCCAGGAGUGAAAGCCCGGGGCCCAACCCCGGGACUGCUCUUGGAACUGCGCGGCUGGAGUGCAGGAGGGGCAGGCGGAAUUCCUGGUGUAGCGGUGAAAUGCGUAGAUAUCGGGAGGAACACCGGUGGCGAAGGCGGCCUGCUGGACUGCGACUGACGUUGAGGCCCGAAAGCGUGGGGAGCAAACAGGAUUAGAUACCCUAGUAAA